RNAcentral lists this transfer RNA (77 nucleotides) under Candidatus Woesebacteria bacterium RIFOXYB1_FULL_47_31. RNAcentral describes it as "tRNA-Arg". It matches the Rfam family "tRNA". From Rfam's summary of the family: Transfer RNA (tRNA) molecules are approximately 80 nucleotides in length. Their secondary structure includes four short double-helical elements and three loops (D, anti-codon, and T loops). Lineage: Bacteria; Candidatus Woeseibacteriota. RNAcentral also lists the same sequence under 1 other name. The record is from RNAcentral.
GCGCCUGUAGCCUAAUGGAUAGGGCACCAGUCUUCGGAACUGGGUUUGUGGAGGUUCGAUUCCUCCCAGGCGCACAA